Molecule: long non-coding RNA, 583 nt
Organism: Jaculus jaculus (lesser Egyptian jerboa)
Lineage: Eukaryota; Metazoa; Chordata; Mammalia; Rodentia; Dipodidae
Exons: 4
Source: RefSeq, a predicted model, not a curated record
ACGCAGACGCGCUCUCAGUGAGGCGGCGCGGCGAAGACCUAGGAGGACUGGGCUCCAGGAAAAAGAAGUCGGGAGGGCGCAGCAAGUUCUUAAAGGGGCCGCGAAUGCAGGGAUCCGGAGCUUGACGCCGCCUGGCGAGUGGCCGGGAAACUGAAGCCCAGAAAGAAGUUUCUAGCUGGGUCUCAGCGCCUUGGCUGCCAGGAAGCUCUCAGAUCUGGGGUCUACGCCUGUAGGAAAAGAUCAGUGUCUCCACUCCUGCCCACGUGGUGACUGCAUUUCUGCUCCCUGUCCACUCUACUGGCCCUUGAUGGCCCCUCGCUGCUGCCUGUGACCUCAUCCGCCGCCACUCGCCCUGGUCUCCCGAGUCUGUUUCGACCUUCAUGCUGCAGGCCAGCACAUCAUGGUGCCUGGAACAAGGGACCUGAAUACAAGGGACUUCAGUGAGGAACGCCAACAUCAACUCGGGAUCUGUGGAAGAAAGUAAAAUUUAAAAGAGGACCAUGGUCGCCUGCUCAGUCUUCUGGAAUAAAGAAAUGUGAAGGGAGAGCGGCAGUGAGCAACGGAGGAGCAGACUGCGAGAUAG